Molecule: ribosomal RNA, 253 nt
Filed under: Faecalibacterium prausnitzii
Lineage: Bacteria; Bacillati; Bacillota; Clostridia; Eubacteriales; Oscillospiraceae
Description: partial 16S ribosomal RNA
Rfam family: Bacterial small subunit ribosomal RNA
Source: RNAcentral
UACGGAGGAUCCGAGCGUUAUCCGGAUUUAUUGGGUGUAAAGGGAGCGCAGGCGGGAUAGCAAGUCAGCUGUGAAAACUAUGGGCUCAACCCAUAGCUUGCAUUUGAAACUGUUUUUCUUGAGAGUCGGAGAGGUAAGUGGAAUUCCCGGUGUAGCGGUGGAAUGCGUAGAUAUCGGGAGGAACACCAGUGGCGAAGGCGGCCUACUGGGCACCAACUGACGCUGAGGCUCGAAAGUGUGGGUAGCAAACAGG